RNAcentral lists this ribosomal RNA (1343 nucleotides) under uncultured bacterium. Its description in RNAcentral is "16S ribosomal RNA". It matches the Rfam family "Bacterial small subunit ribosomal RNA", at positions 28 to 1378 of the family's 1533-position model. The record is from RNAcentral.
GACGAACGCUGGCGGCGUGCUUAACACAUGCAAGUCGAACGGAAAGGCCCUGCUUUUGUGGGGUGCUCGAGUGGCGAACGGGUGAGUAACACGUGAGUAACCUGCCCUUGACUUUGGGAUAACUUCAGGAAACUGGGGCUAAUACCGGAUAGGAGCUCCUGCUGCAUGGUGGGGGUUGGAAAGUUUCGGCGGUUGGGGAUGGACUCGCGGCUUAUCAGCUUGUUGGUGGGGUAGUGGCUUACCAAGGCUUUGACGGGUAGCCGGCCUGAGAGGGUGACCGGCCACAUUGGGACUGAGAUACGGCCCAGACUCCUACGGGAGGCAGCAGUGGGGAAUAUUGCACAAUGGGCGGAAGCCUGGUGCAGCAACGCCGCGUGCGGGAUGACGGCCUUCGGGUUGUAAACCGCUUUCGCCUGUGACGAAGCGUGAGUGACGGUAAUGGGUAAAGAAGCACCGGCUAACUACGUGCCAGCAGCCGCGGUGAUACGUAGGGUGCGAGCGUUGUCCGGAUUUAUUGGGCGUAAAGGGCUCGUAGGUGGUUGAUCGCGUCGGAAGUGUAAUCUUGGGGCUUAACCCUGAGCGUGCUUUCGAUACGGGUUGACUUGAGGAAGGUAGGGGAGAAUGGAAUUCCUGGUGGAGCGGUGGAAUGCGCAGAUAUCAGGGGGAACACCAGUGGCGAAGGCGGUUCUCUGGGCCUUUCCUGACGCUGAGGAGCGAAAGCGUGGGGAGCGAACAGGCUUAGAUACCCUGGUAGUCCACGCUGUAAACGGUGGGUACUAGGUGUGGGGUCCAUUCCACGGGUUCCGUGCCGUAGCUAACGCUUUAAGUACCCCGCCUGGGGAGUACGGCCGCAAGGCUAAAACUCAAAGGAAUUGACGGAGCCCCGCACAAGCGGCGGAGCAUGCGGAUUAAUUCGAUGCAACGCGUAGAACCUUACCUGGGUUUGACAUGGAUCGGGAGCGCUCAGAGAUGGGUGUGCCUCUUUUGGGGUCGGUUCACAGGUGGUGCAUGGCUGUCGUCAGCUCGUGUCGUGAGAUGUUGGGUUAAGUCCCGCAACGAGCGCAACCCUUGUACACUGUUGCCAGCACGUUAUGGUGGGGACUCAGUGGAGACCGCCGGGGUCAACUCGGAGGAAGGUGGGGAUGACGUCAAGUCAUCAUGCCCCUUAUGUCCAGGGCUUCACGCAUGCUACAAUGGCUGGUACAGAGAGUGGCGAGCCUGUGAGGGUGAGCGAAUCUCGGAAAGCCGGUCUCAGUUCGGAUUGGGGUCUGCAACUCGACCUCAUGAAGUCGGAGUCGCUAGUAAUCGCAGAUCAGCAACGCUGCGGUGAAUACGUUCCCGGG